This 246-nucleotide long non-coding RNA is filed under the name Homo sapiens (human). RNAcentral describes it as "HSALNT0263087". The record is from RNAcentral. Lineage: Eukaryota; Metazoa; Chordata; Mammalia; Primates; Hominidae.
CCGUAAGGCUCCUGUUCCCGCCCCCUCCCGCCCCAGGGACCCAGACCCCAGGAGGCCUCACCCCACAGCAAGAGAAAGACCACGAGCAUGGACAUGAUGGUCGCGCUCACUCCGGUGCAGUGAGUGUCUGGGGGAUGGAUCCUAGAACCUGUUCUAGAAGGAGACGCUGAGUUCUCCCCACUCUACCUGGAGCUGCUGAGGUCAAGUGGAGAGUGCCGGGGCUGAAGCCCAGCGAGCCCCUCCCUG